Molecule: ribosomal RNA, 893 nt
Filed under: uncultured Actinomycetes bacterium
Lineage: Bacteria; Bacillati; Actinomycetota; Actinomycetes
Description: bacterial SSU rRNA
Rfam family: Bacterial small subunit ribosomal RNA
Source: RNAcentral
AGAGUUUGAUCCUGGCUCAGGACGAACGCUGGCGGCGUGCUUUAUACAUGCAAGUCGAACGAUGAAGUCCUUCGGGAAUGGAUUAGUGGCGAACGGGUGAGGAACACGUGAGAAACCUGCCUUUCAUUCUGGGAUAACACCGGGAAACCGGUGCUAAUACCGGAUACUCCAUCUUGGCGGCAUCGCCGAGCUGGGAAAAAAUUUUGAUGAAAGAUGGUCUCGCGGCCUAUCAGCUAGUUGGUGAGGUAAAGGCUCACCAAGGCGACGACGGGUAGCCGGCCUGAGAGGGCGACCGGCCACACUGGGACUGAGACACGGCCCAGACUCCUACGGGAGGCAGCAGUAGGGAAUAUUGGGCAAUGGGCGAAAGCCUGACCCAGCGACGCCGCGUGAGGGAUGAAGGUCUUCGGAUUGUAAACCUCUUUCAGUAGGGAAGAAGCGAAAGUGACGGUACCUAAAGAAGAAGCACCGGCUAACUAUGUGCCAGCAGCCGCGGUAAUACAUAGGGUGCAAGCGUUGUCCGGAAUUAUUGGGCGUAAAGAGCUCGUAGGUCGUUUGUCGCGUCGAUUGUGAAAAUCUGAGGCUCAACCUCAGACCUGCAGUCGAUACGGGCAAACUAGAGUGUGGUAGGGGAGACUGGAAUUCCUGGUGUAGCGGUGGAAUGCGCAGAUAUCAGGAGGAACACCAAUGGCGAAGGCAGGUCUCUGGGCCAUAACUGACACUGAGGAGCGAAAGUGCGGGGAGCGAACAGGAUUAGAUACCCUGGUAGUCCGCACCGUAAACGGUGGGCACUAGUUGUGGGAACCUUCCACGGUUUCCGCGACGCAGCAAACGCAUUAAGUGCCCCGCCUGGGGAGUACGAUCGCAAGAUUAAAACUCAAAGGAAUUGACGG